Non-coding RNA from Pimephales promelas (fathead minnow), 603 nucleotides. The record is from RefSeq and is a predicted model, not a curated record. Lineage: Eukaryota; Metazoa; Chordata; Actinopteri; Cypriniformes; Leuciscidae.
AUUGAAUAUGAUGCAGCUCUAAAGAGCACAUUACUGCCUAUGGUUAACAUCUGCUGAGAUACUUCACUACAUUUUAUUGUUGUCUUUCUUUUAGCAUCAAAAUAUUCAAUAGAAGAAUAUUGGGAUAUUACAAUGGGGUGCAACUCAAGUAAAGGUACUGAGGUUGUAGAUUCAUCCAAAAAACCUGGAGACAGACGCAAAUCUGUUGAAUCAGACGACUCAUCGGACAAAGAAGAGGACGAUGUAAAUGAAAUCUCACACACAGAGAAUAUUGGGACUGAGACGGAAGACAGCUGAUACUGUCUUUAAAUUCGCUGGCUACCUUCCUCAAGCUUCUAUGUUUAUUUCCAGUCCAGUUGUGAUCAGCUAAGUUUCCAGGAGAGUGUGAUGAGAUCUACAUCCCAGCCUGUUACUUUCUAUGUUCUCAUCUCAUCGUGUGAUCUCUGUCCAUUAUACAUACUGCAAUACCUUCCUUCUUUAUGGUUCUGCAUUAAACUUAAGGAAAUUAUCAAAGAUGAAAAAGGUUAUGAUAUCACAUUGCUAUUGUGAUAUUAUAGCAGAUUCUGCUGUUUAAGAAUGCAAAUAAAUAUUCUUAAGAAAUAA